RNAcentral lists this ribosomal RNA (434 nucleotides) under uncultured Acetivibrio sp. Its description in RNAcentral is "partial 16S ribosomal RNA". It matches the Rfam family "Bacterial small subunit ribosomal RNA", at positions 341 to 792 of the family's 1533-position model. The record is from RNAcentral. Lineage: Bacteria; Bacillati; Bacillota; Clostridia; Acetivibrionales; Acetivibrionaceae.
ACGGGAGGCAGCAGUGGGGGAUAUUGCGCAAUGGGGGGAACCCUGACGCAGCAACGCCGCGUGAAGGAAGAAGGUUUUCGGAUCGUAAACUUCUUUAAGUGGGGAAGAUAAUGACGGUACCCACAGAAUAAGCCACGGCUAACUACGUGCCAGCAGCCGCGGUAAUACGUAGGUGGCGAGCGUUGUCCGGAUUUACUGGGUGUAAAGGGCGUGUAGGCGGGGCUUUAGGUCAGAUGUGAAAUACCGUGGCUUAACCACGGAGCUGCAUUUGAAACCGGAGCUCUUGAGUGUCGGAGAGGAAAGCGGAAUUCCUAGUGUAGCGGUGGAAUGCGUAGAUAUUAGGAGGAACACCAGAGGCGAAAGCGAUUUUCUGGACGAUAACUGACGCUGAGGCACGAAAGCGUGGGGAGCAAACAGGAUUAGAUACCCUGGUA